This 424-nucleotide ribosomal RNA is filed under the name Verrucomicrobiota bacterium. RNAcentral's name for it is "Verrucomicrobia bacterium partial 16S ribosomal RNA". It matches the Rfam family "Bacterial small subunit ribosomal RNA", at positions 355 to 776 of the family's 1533-position model. The record is from RNAcentral. Lineage: Bacteria; Pseudomonadati; Verrucomicrobiota.
UGAGGAAUAUUGGUCAAUGGACGAGAGUCUGAACCAGCCAAGUAGCGUGCAGGAUGACGGCCCUAUGGGUUGUAAACUGCUUUUGUUUGGGAAUAAUCGACAUUAUGUGUAAUGUUUUGCAUGUACCAUUCGAAUAAGGCCCGGCUAAUUCCGUGCCAGCAGCCGCGGUAAUACGGAAGGUCCAGGCGUUAUCCGGAUUUAUUGGGUUUAAAGGGAGCGCAGGCCGCCCGAUAAGCGUGUUGUGAAAUGUACCGGCUCAACCGGUGAGUUGCAGCGCGAACUGUCAGGCUUGAGUGCACGGUAAGCAGGCGGAAUUCAUGGUGUAGCGGUGAAAUGCUUAGAUAUCAUGAGGAACUCCGAUUGCGAAGGCAGCUUGCUGCAGUGCGACUGACGCUUAGGCUCGAAGGUGCGGGUAUCAAACAGG